This 492-nucleotide ribosomal RNA is filed under the name uncultured bacterium. Its description in RNAcentral is "partial 16S ribosomal RNA". It matches the Rfam family "Bacterial small subunit ribosomal RNA", at positions 29 to 507 of the family's 1533-position model. The record is from RNAcentral.
AGUGAACGCUGGCGGUAGGCCUAACACAUGCAAGUCGAACGGCAGCACAGUAAGAGCUUGCUCUUACGGGUGGCGAGUGGCGGACGGGUGAGGAAUACAUCGGAAUCUACUUUUUCGUGGGGGAUAACGUAGGGAAACUUACGCUAAUACCGCAUACGACCUACGGGUGAAAGCAGGGGAUCUUCGGACCUUGCGCGAUUGAAUGAGCCGAUGUCGGAUUAGCUAGUUGGCGGGGUAAAGGCCCACCAAGGCGACGAUCCGUAGCUGGUCUGAGAGGGUGAUCAGCCACACUGGAACUGAGACACGGUCCAGACUCCUACGGGAGGCAGCAGUGGGGAAUAUUGGACAAUGGGCGCAAGCCUGAUCCAGCCAUACCGCGUGGGUGAAGAAGGCCUUCGGGUUGUAAAGCCCUUUUGUUGGGAAAGAAAAGCAGCAGGCUAAUACCCCGCUGUUCUGACGGUACCCAAAGAAUAAGCACCGGCUAACUUCGCG